CAGCUCUGAUUUAUGAAUAUGCACUUUUCUUCUCAGCAGGAAAAAAAGUCUCUUCAGGAUUGUGCAUGUUCCUAGCUGUUGAGGAGAAAGUGGACAAGGCCCGCAUAUAGACUUGCAAUGUUUUGAGCCAGCUCGUAGCAUCUGAAUUCCCUUACUGCAGGUGAGAAGGAGAGUGCACAGUAAGCAGUACUACUGGAAGGAAAAGAAACACCCAGUCUCUCCUCAGGACCUAUCAAGCAAGAAACCUCUGAUGGAUGGAUUUCUGACAAUGGCACACUUUGGUUGCAGCAAGAGAGGUAUUUGGGGUAUUUGUUUAAAAUGUUUAAACUGAGUUAGAGUUCUGAUACAGGAGAGGAAAUGUAGGAUCAUAUCCACAGAUUGGUUGUAAAUAUCUUCAUAUACAGACCACAACAUCCUAUCUUACAUAAUUUACUAUUAUGCCUAAACCCCUAAAUCUGCCA
This 461-nucleotide long non-coding RNA is filed under the name Gopherus agassizii (Agassiz's desert tortoise). RNAcentral describes it as "lncRNA (ENSGAGG00000004739.1)". The record is from RNAcentral. Lineage: Eukaryota; Metazoa; Chordata; Testudines; Testudinidae.